Molecule: ribosomal RNA, 254 nt
Filed under: uncultured bacterium
Lineage: Bacteria
Description: partial 16S ribosomal RNA
Rfam family: Bacterial small subunit ribosomal RNA
Source: RNAcentral
UACGUAGGGGGCAAGCGUUGUCCGGAUUUAUUGGGCGUAAAGAGCUCGUAGGCGGCUUGGCAAGUCGGGUGUGAAAACUUCAGGCUCAACCUGGAGCGGCCACUCGAUACUGCUAUGGCUUGAGUCCGGUAGGGGACCACGGAAUUCCUGGUGUAGCGGUGAAAUGCGCAGAUAUCAGGAGGAACACCAGUGGCGAAGGCGGUGGUCUGGGCCGGAACUGACGCUGAGGAGCGAAAGCGUGGGGAGCGAACAGG